GCCUCCAUGGCGGAAUUGGUAGACGCCCUCGCCUUAAGAGCGAGUAUCCUUGUGGUGUGUGGGUUCGACUCCCUCUGGAGGCACCA
RNAcentral lists this transfer RNA (86 nucleotides) under Nitrososphaerota archaeon. RNAcentral describes it as "Thaumarchaeota archaeon tRNA-Leu". It matches the Rfam family "tRNA". From Rfam's summary of the family: Transfer RNA (tRNA) molecules are approximately 80 nucleotides in length. Their secondary structure includes four short double-helical elements and three loops (D, anti-codon, and T loops). Lineage: Archaea; Thermoproteati; Nitrososphaerota. The record is from RNAcentral.